GGAGUUCUUGACCUAACAAGUCAGCAGGUUCCGUUCCUUUGGACUUUCUAGACCCAUAUGUAUUGGGCUCUGGCCAACUCAGAGAGAAUGAGUGUAGAUUUUAUUUCCUAGGGCUAAGUCGUGUAGUGUGGUAGGUAAAAAGGAUGAUCACUGCAGACAGCUUAAUGGGAGGAACUAGUGCCUUCAGUUCUCAACAAACACAUCACCUGUCUUGUUCUGAUCAUGUAGCUCUUAAGAGGAAACAACUGCAUGUUUUCAGAGAAGAUACCCUCAGACCCAUGAUAGCAUAAAUUGUUGAAAGAGCUGUGAAAAGAACUGAUGCUCUGCAAAUGCAAGAUAGUAUUGCUAUUAUUAGUCAAUGUUAUGGACCCUAUCUUCAUUCCUGUGAGAAAAUUGCACUUUUUCAUAUUUAGCGUACAGGCAUGUUGCUUUGCUGAAGCUUUUGGGUGAGAGCCGAGCUUUUCUUUAGUUCAGUUUACAUUUGUGUGUUUCAUAGCCUCGAAUUGUGUGUUUUGUUCUCUUAAAAACAUAAGGUGACCCCAAAAUCUGAUUGUAUUCCUCUCUCUCCCAAACUAUAUUUAAAGACUUCCCAAGUUGUCUUUCUCUCUGCUUUUUGAUAAGACAUUGUCUGACUUUGCACAGUUUGUUUUUAAUACUGUUUGGGUGUGGUAUUCAUGUAGCAUUUUAAAAUUGUGUUUCAUAGAUUUUCGACUGUGUGAAUGCAUCAGGCUGUGAGUGUCUUCCUUGUGGGGAUACUUUGGGAAAGUGUUCUUCUGUGCUAUUCUGGGAUGGGUAAAACUGAUGUGCUGAAUUUGUAACUGAAAGUACAUUUACAAUGAAGUGUUAUUUCUGAAGGACAGAAGUG
This 865-nucleotide long non-coding RNA is filed under the name Marmota monax (woodchuck). Lineage: Eukaryota; Metazoa; Chordata; Mammalia; Rodentia; Sciuridae. The record is from RNAcentral.